RNAcentral lists this ribosomal RNA (253 nucleotides) under uncultured bacterium. RNAcentral describes it as "partial 16S ribosomal RNA". It matches the Rfam family "Bacterial small subunit ribosomal RNA", at positions 524 to 776 of the family's 1533-position model. The record is from RNAcentral.
UACGGAGGGGGCUAGCGUUGUUCGGAAUUACUGGGCGUAAAGCGCGCGUAGGCGGCUUUGUAAGUUAGAGGUGAAAGCCCGGAGCUCAACUCCGGAAUUGCCUUUAAGACUGCAUCGCUUGAAUCAUGGAGAGGUGAGUGGAAUUCCGAGUGUAGAGGUGAAAUUCGUAGAUAUUCGCAAGAACACCAGUGGCGAAGGCGGCUCACUGGCUCGAUACUGACGCUGAGGCACGAAAGCGUGGGGAGCAAACAGG